This 85-nucleotide transfer RNA is filed under the name Firmicutes bacterium HGW-Firmicutes-15. RNAcentral's name for it is "tRNA-Leu". It matches the Rfam family "tRNA". Rfam says of the family: Transfer RNA (tRNA) molecules are approximately 80 nucleotides in length. Their secondary structure includes four short double-helical elements and three loops (D, anti-codon, and T loops). Further hydrogen bonds mediate the characteristic L-shaped molecular structure. tRNAs have two regions of fundamental functional importance: the anti-codon, which is responsible for specific mRNA codon recognition, and the 3' end, to which the tRNAs corresponding amino acid is attached (by aminoacyl-tRNA synthetases). tRNAs cope with the degeneracy of the genetic code in two manners: having more than one tRNA (with a specific anti-codon) for a particular amino acid; and 'wobble' base-pairing, i.e. permitting non-standard base-pairing at the 3rd anti-codon position. RNAcentral also lists the same sequence under 2 other names. Lineage: Bacteria; Bacillati; Bacillota. The record is from RNAcentral.
GUCGGAGUGGUGGAACCGGCAGACACGUACGUUUGAGGGGCGUAUGCUGAGAGGCGUAGGGGUUCAAGUCCCCUCUCCGACACCA